AGCACCUUUCUAGCUUGGUUUGGAGCUUAAAUAGAGGUUAGUAGCUUUGAUCUCUCCUUUGGAUCAUGCUAUGUUGGAUUUUUGAGAUGAAAAUUUAGUUUUGGAAAAACUAUGGUUUUAUUUGGGGUUUUUUUGGGGGGUUUUUGAUUUAUAGUCUUUGGGGUUAAAUUGAUGGGAACAUAGAACUCUCUUUUAGAUUGGAUUAGAAGUAUCU
Molecule: long non-coding RNA, 214 nt
Filed under: Ananas comosus (pineapple)
Lineage: Eukaryota; Viridiplantae; Streptophyta; Magnoliopsida; Poales; Bromeliaceae
Description: long non-coding RNA (ACOM_LNC003273)
Source: RNAcentral